Molecule: long non-coding RNA, 269 nt
Filed under: Homo sapiens (human)
Lineage: Eukaryota; Metazoa; Chordata; Mammalia; Primates; Hominidae
Description: long non-coding RNA NONHSAT173253.1
Source: RNAcentral
GCAAUGGACUUUGCUCUGGGAGUGCAAAGUGACUCACAGUUUUGGUAUCUCCUACGUAAGAGCUUUGGGGGGAUUCCUUGGCUUGCUGACAGGCAAGGAAGACAGCGGCAGCAGUGAGGUAAAACACGAUUACUUCCAACUGCCUUGCGGAGGAGGCGCAGUCGUGCGGUGUGACUUGGACAGCUUGCUGCUCUCUGAUGGCACGCGGAGGGAGAAUAAUUAAAAAGGCCAGCAUCACUUACUAAGACUCUUCAUCUCAAGUGAGUAAG